UACGGAAGGUGCAAGCGUUGUUCGGAAUGACUGGGCGUAAAGCGCACGUAGGCGGCUUCGUAAGUCGGAUGUGAAAGCCCCGGGCUCAACCUGGGAACUGCACCCGAAACUGCGAAGCUUGAAUGCUUGAGAGGUUGGUGGAAUUCCAGGUGUAGGAGUGAAAUCCGUAGAUAUCUGGAGGAACACCGGAGGCGAAGGCGGCCAACUGGCGAUACAUUGACGCUGAGGUGUGAAAGCGUGGGGAGCAAACAGG
RNAcentral lists this unclassified non-coding RNA (253 nucleotides) under uncultured Oligoflexaceae bacterium. RNAcentral describes it as "contains 16S-23S intergenic spacer region". It matches the Rfam family "Bacterial small subunit ribosomal RNA", at positions 524 to 776 of the family's 1533-position model. Lineage: Bacteria; Pseudomonadati; Bdellovibrionota; Oligoflexia; Oligoflexales; Oligoflexaceae. The record is from RNAcentral.